AGUGAACGCUGGCGGUAGGCCUAACACAUGCAAGUCGAACGGCAGCACAGUAAGAGCUUGCUCUUACGGGUGGCGAGUGGCGGACGGGUGAGGAAUACAUCGGAAUCUACUUUUUCGUGGGGGAUAACGUAGGGAAACUUACGCUAAUACCGCAUACGACCUUCGGGUGAAAGCAGGGGAUCUUCGGACCUUGCGCGAUUGAAUGAGCCGAUGUCGGAUUAGCUAGUUGGCGGGGUAAAGGCCCACGCAGGCGACGAUCCGUAGCUGGUCUGAGAGGAUGAUCAGCCACACUGGAACUGAGACACGGUCCAGACUCCUACGGGAGGCAGCAGUGGGGAAUAUUGGACAAUGGGCGCAAGCCUGAUCCAGCCAUACCGCGUGGGUGAAGAAGGCCUUCGGGUUGUAAAGCCCUUUUGUUGGGAAAGAAAAGCAGCAGGUUGAUACCCCGCUGUUCUGACGGUACCCAAAGAAUAAGCACCGGCUAACUUCGUG
This 492-nucleotide ribosomal RNA is filed under the name uncultured bacterium. RNAcentral's name for it is "partial 16S ribosomal RNA". It matches the Rfam family "Bacterial small subunit ribosomal RNA", at positions 29 to 507 of the family's 1533-position model. The record is from RNAcentral.